AGAGUUUGAUCAUGGCUCAGAACGAACGCUGGCGGCAGGCCUAACACAUGCAAGUCGAGCGGGGACUUCGGUCCUAGCGGCGGACGGGUGAGUAACGCGUGGGAACGUGCCCCUUGCUUCGGAAUAGCCCCUGGAAACGGGGAGUAAUACCGGAUGUGCCCUACGGGGGAAAGAAUUUCGGCAAAGGAUCGGCCCGCGUUGGAUUAGGUAGUUGGUGGGGUAAUGGCCUACCAAGCCUACGAUCUCUAGCUGGUCUGAGAGGAUGAUCAGCCACACUGGAACUGAGACACGGUCCAGACUCCUACGGGAGGCAGCAGUGGGGAAUAUUGGGCAAUGGAGGAAACUCUGACCCAGCCAUGCCGCGUGAAUGAUGAAGGCCUUAGGGUUGUAAAGUUCUUUCGCCGAUGAAGAUAAUGACGGUAGUCGGAGAAGAAGCCCCGGCUAACUUCGUGCCAGCAGCCGCGGUAAUACGAAGGGGGCUAGCGUUGUUCGGAAUUACUGGGCGUAAAGCGAGCGUAGGUUGCUCGAUAAGUCAGUGGUGAAAGCCCAGAGCUCAACUCUGGAACUGCCAUUGAAACUGUCGAGCUGGAAUCUCAGAGGGGGUAGCGGAAUUCCAAAUGUAGGGGUGAAAUCCGUAGACAUUUGGAGGAACACCGGUGGCGAAGGCGGCUACCUGGAUGAGUAUUGACACUGAGGCUCGAAAGCGUGGGGAUCAAACAGGAUUAGAUACCCCGGUAGUCC
Molecule: ribosomal RNA, 741 nt
Filed under: uncultured bacterium
Lineage: Bacteria
Description: bacterial SSU rRNA
Rfam family: Bacterial small subunit ribosomal RNA
Source: RNAcentral